Molecule: long non-coding RNA, 535 nt
Filed under: Populus trichocarpa (black cottonwood)
Lineage: Eukaryota; Viridiplantae; Streptophyta; Magnoliopsida; Malpighiales; Salicaceae
Description: long non-coding RNA (PTRI_LNC001305)
Source: RNAcentral
UUAACACCAGCAGCCCUGUCCCCUUUCCUCUUUCCCCUUUCUCCAAAUCACCCGAGACUCUCUACCCUAGCAGAUUAACACCAGCAGCACAACUGGUUCCACUCUCCACUCACCAGCAGCGCAAAUAUAUAACCACUCACCAGCAAUGCAACAAAGAUUCGAAACUUUCUUGGCGAGAAGAAGGUAAGAAUUUAUUCCCAAGUUUUGUUUUUUAUGUCUUGUUUGGUAUUCCCGGUGAUACUAUAAAAAAAUCAGGUCACAGGUUUUUCAUUUUUUUUGUUAGACUUUGUUGCUAGAAAUAUUAGAGUUGCCUGGUCAUGUUUUAGUUUUGGGUUCCUGCAGCAUGAAAUAAAUAUUUGUAAUUGGUGAAUUAGUAGAAUAUUAAUGGAAAUACAGUGAGGCUAAGUAAAACCCUGGUCAUGUUAAUAAUCUAGAUGCUGUGAUUAGUGUUUGGAAUUAAAUGUGGUGAUUUGCUGAUGAUUUCGGGAAUAUUGUUAAUGCCAGUUAUGUUGGAUCUCUAUGCUAUCCAGUGUCC